GGAGUGGUAGCUGAGAUGGUCUAGCGGCGGACUGAAAACCCGCAUACGGAGAUUCGAGCGCUCCCCACUCCACCA
Molecule: transfer RNA, 75 nt
Filed under: Candidatus Sulfopaludibacter sp. SbA4
Lineage: Bacteria; Pseudomonadati; Acidobacteriota; Terriglobia; Bryobacterales; Solibacteraceae
Description: tRNA-Phe
Rfam family: tRNA
About the family: Transfer RNA (tRNA) molecules are approximately 80 nucleotides in length. Their secondary structure includes four short double-helical elements and three loops (D, anti-codon, and T loops). Further hydrogen bonds mediate the characteristic L-shaped molecular structure. tRNAs have two regions of fundamental functional importance: the anti-codon, which is responsible for specific mRNA codon recognition, and the 3' end, to which the tRNAs corresponding amino acid is attached (by aminoacyl-tRNA synthetases). tRNAs cope with the degeneracy of the genetic code in two manners: having more than one tRNA (with a specific anti-codon) for a particular amino acid; and 'wobble' base-pairing, i.e. permitting non-standard base-pairing at the 3rd anti-codon position.
Source: RNAcentral